Molecule: small nucleolar RNA, 86 nt
Organism: Apodemus sylvaticus (European woodmouse)
Lineage: Eukaryota; Metazoa; Chordata; Mammalia; Rodentia; Muridae
Product: small nucleolar RNA SNORD86
Exons: 1
Source: RefSeq, a predicted model, not a curated record
UAUUUAAAUCAUUAAAAAUAUUUUGAUCUGGAUCUAUAUGGACCUAUGCUAUGGGGAUGAUGGCCAGUCCUGAUGUCUGAGUGAUA